Molecule: long non-coding RNA, 1809 nt
Filed under: Marmota monax (woodchuck)
Lineage: Eukaryota; Metazoa; Chordata; Mammalia; Rodentia; Sciuridae
Source: RNAcentral
GUCAGCUGUGGCGCAGGCGCAUGCGGCUCAGGUGCCGUGUGCACGGCAUUGUGGGAAAGCAACACAUGGCUACAGGACCAAGCCAGAAGGUCCAGCAGAGGGUCUGCCCGGACGCGGAGGCCACGUGACCCCACACCUGUCAAAGCUCACGGAGAGGGAGGCUUCGGGGGUAAAUGGUACCUGCCACGGUCAUCUGCAGUGGGGAGCCGUCCGCCCCAGGGCACCUCUCUGGUGGUCUGGUACACUGGCUCUUGUGGUCACUGGGUCUAGUGCCUGGAGGUCAGGUGGGAGGACUCCUGAGGCACCUGGGCCUGUGGGAGGGAGGCUCCCCCCACCCCAACUUGGGGAAGGCUGGUGCAGCGGGGACGGCAGACCCCCUGUGGGGUCAGGCCGCAGGUGGGCUUGAGGGAGACGCAGAGGGGCCUCGGAGCCAGCGCAGGACGGCGAGUAAGGACAGGGCAGGGCCAGCACAAGGGAGGGAGGAGAGGGUCUCCUGAUGAGGCCGACUUCCUGCUGGUCAAAAGUGCCCAUGGACACAACCAGGGACCCCAUCAGACAGACACGCUGUACUCGUGCCCCUAAACAGGGACCCAAUAGAAAAACUAAACAGACGCGUGGGCAGAGGGGACACCAGUCAAUAACAGGGAGGAGACCAGGGACAGGGAGGAGAAGGAGAGGAGGACCUUCAGAGACCACAGAAGGGACAGGCCAACCCACCAGACCCCCAGCUCUGGGCCCUUCCUCUGGAGAAGUCUGUCUCUGAGGCUUUUGCAAUGGACCUGCUGUUUGCCGGCCACUCCGUGUCCUGUCCUUCACUUCUUUGCUGAGGGGAGACAAUGACCCCCUAGACGGCAACAGGCUGUGAGGGGACAUCCUUGGGGACAUCCGUCCACAGGUCCCUGUCUCUACUGCGGGGCCCAGGUUUGCCCCCCCAGGGCUCCGUCCUCCCCACUCCAGGUCCUCCGGGGCCACCAAUCUGAUGUCUGUAGCUCUGUGGUGUCCCAGUGAGGUCUGCGGUCCUGGGAGGGAGUUGGGUGCCUCUGUGAGGUGGUCCGGCCACUCAGCCCUCGGUUCCUUGCUCAGUCCUCAGCACCACUGUCCUUCAAUGGGGCUUGGAUACAGGGCUGCAGGGACGGUGACUCGGCUCUGUGUGGGCACUGUCCCUACACCUUGUGCCUGCAUCCCUACAUUCCCAGGCUCUCCCCCUGACCCCAGUCCUCUCCAGUGAAUGACAGUGGAGCCUCCAUCUUGCCCCGGGGGCUGUCCAGGCCUGUCCUGCAGCCCCGGUUCCCGGCCCUCCUCCUGCCUCCUGUCUCAGACGUGCUGGGAGCCGGUGUGCUGCUCAGGGCCUCCCAGGGAGCAGACCCCAGGGCAGGACCAGACCGGGCCGCGGCCCCUGGCCUUGAGCUGCUCCAGGGUUGAGCUCAGCGGCAGCUGCUGGAGAGUCCCUGACCCCAUGGCAAGCGCAGAGGUCCAGGAGAUGGGAACAGCACAACCGCUAAGCCCUGCCCGGCAGUCGUGAGGAGGCCAAGGAGGAGCCCAGGCCCCACCCUGUGACUUCUUCUUUUCAAGGGCUGUGACACGUUAGCAGAGGAUUGUCCAUAAAAAGGUACCGCCGAAAUAUUUAAAAAGGUUGGAAUCAUGCAGGGAACACUGUCCACCCCAGGGGCUGUGUGCGGGUCUGUGGGCCUGACUAGAACGCACGUGCAGGUUUGGUGUUGGGAAGGUCUCGUUUGGCGUGGAGUUGAAGGCUGCACCUGCGAGAUGGUGACGCUUGGCCAUUUUUACUCUGAAGGCAGCGAUUCAGAG